UGUGUGCAGCUGAGAAACGUUUGACUGACUUUGAGUGUGCAGUGGAAGAAGAUCAGCUGAUGUUUCCUUUGGUCUUGAAGUCCUCCACAAACAAACAUGUCACUUUACUGCUUUCUGCUCUUUUCUCACUUUAUAGGUGGAGCAGCCGGAGACAAAAUCUCUCCUGAAGCAGCUGAAGUCAGUGGAAGAGAAGAAGAAUCUGUCAGACUCAAAUGUGUCUACGAGACAGACAGCGAGCACGUUGGUCUCCACUGGUACGAGCAUCAUUCUAACCAGGCGCCUCAGUUUAUCCUCUGGAAAGGAGCGAGGUCACGGAGCCACGGUCAAUACAUUCCUGAUCAUCGAUAUCGAUCCCAAACAUGGAGGACUUCAGCUGAAGUGACCAUCAGAGAUGUAACGGGGGCAGACUCAGCGCUCUACUACUGUGCUCUGGAAACACAGUGAGACAAAGUGUUGAAGAGGUCGUACAAAAAGCUCCACACCGAUACGUGA
This is a non-coding RNA of Thalassophryne amazonica, 492 nucleotides long. The record is from the annotation of a RefSeq genome assembly. Lineage: Eukaryota; Metazoa; Chordata; Actinopteri; Batrachoidiformes; Batrachoididae.